ACGUACACUCCUGCGGGAGGCAGCAGUGGGGAAUAUUGGACAAUGGGCGCAAGCCUGAUCCAGCCAUGCCGCGUGAGUGAUGAAGGCCCUAGGGUUGUAAAGCUCUUUCACCGGUGAAGAUAAUGACGGUAACCGGAGGAGAAGCCCCGGCUAACUUCGUGCCAGCAGCCGCGGUAAUACGAAGGGGGCUAGCGUUGUUCGGAUUUACUGGGCGUAAAGCGCACGUAGGCGGACUAUUAAGUCAGGGGUGAAAUCCCGGGGCUCAACCCCGGAACUGCCUUUGAUACUGGUAGUCUUGAGUUCGAGAGAGGUGAGUGGAAUUCCGAGUGGAGAGGUGAAAUUCGUAGAUAUUCGGAGGAACACCAGUGGCGAAGGCGGCUCACUGGCUCGAUACUGACGCUGAGGUGCGAAAGCGUGGGGAGCAAACAGGAUUAGAAACCCGUGUAGUCCC
This 451-nucleotide ribosomal RNA is filed under the name uncultured organism. RNAcentral describes it as "partial 16S ribosomal RNA". It matches the Rfam family "Bacterial small subunit ribosomal RNA", at positions 329 to 797 of the family's 1533-position model. The record is from RNAcentral.